ACGGUCAUACCAUGCUCAAUAUACCGGUUCUCGUUCAAUCACCGAAGUCAAGCCUCAUCGGUCGAGGUCAGUACUUGGGAGGGUGACCACCUAGGAACACCGCGCCGUUGGC
Molecule: ribosomal RNA, 112 nt
Filed under: Caerostris extrusa
Lineage: Eukaryota; Metazoa; Arthropoda; Arachnida; Araneae; Araneidae
Source: RNAcentral